GUCUAAAUUGUAUUCUCUAGUGGCUGAAAAAAAACUUGGAAACAAGUAUUUUCCGAAAACGCCGCCGGCUAACAAUGAUUAACUUUUUCGCAGAGUGUGGUGAGAACUUCCAGAAGAAGUCGUCAUCAUCGCCAGCAGUGGGAAGGAAUUACUGCUUCCUUCGCAAUAGAGUGCUGGAACGACAACCAAGUUUUCUUCCUAUUCCGUUUCCUAUAUUCUUCCAUGAUAAAGUUGGAGGAGCUAGUGAGCAGCAGAUUCAGCUGUUACAAGUGUUGUCCGGUACAGUUGGACAGGAUGUGUGGGAUUAGGGGGAUCAGGCCAAAGAGAUGGCCGAUGCUAAUAAGGGCUUCCAACGGUAGCACGAUCCGGAUCGAGUUCAGUGGGCAAUGGAACGGGAAGGUCGCCGGACACGUAGAAAGUGGCUGAAUUUGAAGUGUCUCUGAUUGAGUUAGCCUAGGAUGCGCAGCAAGUUUUCGUCGAUGUUUCCGCGAUAUGGAGUACUGGAAAAGUUCCAAAACUGGCACGCCUACGUCACGGAAUGGUUGGUUCAAGAGGGGAAGCUGGCAGCAAAAGUCUGAAGAUUUCCCCGAUAUCUGCGUCACCAUGUUGAAGUCACCAAGAAAUAAACGUUCUUCAUUAUUGUUGUUUUGCUACU
Molecule: long non-coding RNA, 655 nt
Organism: Ochlerotatus camptorhynchus
Lineage: Eukaryota; Metazoa; Arthropoda; Insecta; Diptera; Culicidae
Exons: 3
Source: RefSeq, a predicted model, not a curated record